GGCCCUCCCGGCCUUCCCGGCAGCAAGGGCGAGCGAGGCUACAUGGGCCCCCCAGGGGAAAAAGGGGAGCCGGGUCCCCCCGGCUUGGACGGCAUCCCCGGUCCCACGGGACCAGCGGGGCCGAGGGGCGAGCGGGGCCUCCCGGGCGGUGCCGGCGAGAAGGGCGACCAGGGCUUCCAGGGACAGCCUGGCUUCCCGGGGCCG
This is a non-coding RNA of Tinamus guttatus (white-throated tinamou), 204 nucleotides long. The record is from RefSeq and is a predicted model, not a curated record. NCBI's taxonomy places the organism in Eukaryota, Metazoa, Chordata, Aves, Tinamiformes, Tinamidae.